RNAcentral lists this ribosomal RNA (253 nucleotides) under uncultured bacterium. RNAcentral describes it as "partial 16S ribosomal RNA". It matches the Rfam family "Bacterial small subunit ribosomal RNA", at positions 524 to 776 of the family's 1533-position model. The record is from RNAcentral.
UACGAAGGGGACUAGCGUUGUUCGGAAUUACUGGGCGUAAAGCGCACGUAGGCGGAUUUGUAAGUCAGGGGUGAAAUCCCGGGGCUCAACCUCGGAACUGCCUUUGAUACUGCAAAUCUCGAGUCCGAUAGAGGUGGGUGGAAUUCCUAGUGUAGAGGUGAAAUUCGUAGAUAUUAGGAAGAACACCGGUGGCGAAGGCGGCCCACUGGAUCGGUACUGACGCUGAGGUACGAAAGCGUGGGGAGCAAACAGG